UUUUUUUUUUUUUUGGUCAGAACUACACAGUGAUUCACAUAUCCAGGGUUCUUAGAAAAUAAAACCAGAGGUAUAAGAACUAAUAACAAUAUACAUUUCUAUUUUUUUUUUUUUUCUAUGAAAGGGAGCUUGAUGGUGGUGGCUCCUUCCUCAUGUAUUGAAAAUAGAUUUUAUUUUAUAUUAUUUUUUUCUUUCUAAGGCCUCACCAGUGGCAUAUAGAGAUUCCCAGCCUAGGGGUCCAAUCAGAACUGAAACUGCCGGCCUAGGCCACAGCCACAGCAAUGCAGGAUCUGAGCCGCAUCUGCAACCUAUACCACAAACUCAUGGCAACGCCGGAUCCUUAACCCACUGAGCAAGGCAGUGGGAAGAGACCCUGGAGUGUUUCUCCUAUAGGAUGUCUAUAAAGGGUUUAAUAUUUUCAUUUGAUGUGAAUUCCAUCUCUUGUUAAGCUACCCUUGGACUGUUAAGAAGUAAAGGACAUAGAACCUUCAAAUGAAAGUCUUGUUGCUGCUACAGUCUCAGGAAGCCUGAUAUUUAAAUAUUCAUCAUGUGGAAUGUAGUGGGUACUGCUACUCAGAAUUGACCUGUGCCAGGAGGCUCCCUGCUAUGUCAGGCAGUAACUGUUGAGUGCUGAUUUGGGGAAGGGUCGGUGAGGAGUUCUUGUGGGUCAACCCAGGAGAUCUUCUUAGUGGUGGGGGGGCUCAGGAUAGUGGACCCUUGAACAACACAGGUUUGGACAGCAUGGGUCCACUUACACGAGGAUUUUUUUCAAUAGUAGAAAAAAUCUAUGUGAUUUGCAAAUGGUUUAAUCCACAGAUGUGGAACCUUGGAUAUGAGUCAUAUGUGGCUUUUCAGUGGCACUGGGUCGGGGCCCCUAAGCCCUCUGGCAUUGUUGAAUGGUCAACUGUAUUUCACUCUUUUAAUAACCAAACCGCUAUCAGCCUCGCUUUCUUUCAUGGAUAAACUUAAAUGAGUGAAUAGAUGAAUGACACACAAAUAACAACUUAUGAAUGAUGAAGUUGUCCUGAGUUUGCCAGAAAUCUACAGAAGCUUCUAAGGCUGAUUUCAGCAUUUUCCUGGGAACUUUCCUAUCCAUAAGAGGUUGCUGAAGAACCAAGCAGGCUGACAGCUGCCUUUUGGCCACAUGUCAGUGUAACUGGAGAGGGUAAAUGAUUCCAGCCAGAGCCAUCAAUAAUUGACAGCAGGUAAUUCAGUACCUUUAUUCCCCAGCCGCCUUUCUGCAAAGGUGGCAAAGAGAAUGUCUGUUUCUCUUCACCCAUUCAAUUUAGACACUAGCCCACCUCCACACAUUCCAAUCACGGAAAACAAACAGUGUGACAAUAGCCAGGGGCCCUCAGACCAGAGCAUUCCCUUAGUAAACAUGACCUCAAGCUGCCACAUCUCUAGUGCUCCCAGGGGAAAUUACAGGUCAUAUUGUCUAUGUAACCAAAAUGGAGCACGUGGACGCAAGAAAACUUUUAUAUUUUAGUACUUUGCUUAAUUCUUCAUGUGUGUAUGUUUGGGUGCUCAGUAAUGGUGAUGCCAUUUCUAAAGCCGAUGAGUCAGUGAAAGAUUUAGUGUUAACUAUGUGUAGAAGUAACUUAGGAUUUUUAGGUCUAAUUCUCUUGGGCCUUCAAUGAGGAUCUCUAGGUAAACUCAAUUCAAUUAAAUUCAUUCAUUUAUGCAUUCAACAAAUAUUUAUUGAGUAUCCAUUCUGCAUUAUCUACUCUUUUAGGCUCCAGGAUAUGGAUGGGAAGAGAGCAAACAAGAAAUCUAUACUCAUGGAAGUUAUAUUCUAGGGAAAAAACCAGAUACACAAGUAAACAAGUAAAUAUUUGUCUUACAAUUUCAAGAAGCAGUAAGUACUCUAAAGAAAAAUUAAGCACGAUAAGUGGUGGGUGGGUGGUCAGUGAAGGGAGAGCCCUGUCAAUAUUUGACAGAAUCCAUUCCAGGCAGAGAGGACAAUCAAAGCAAAAGCUUUGAGUGGGAAUGAUCCUGGUGUGUUCAAGUCACAUCAAGAUGCUGAGGGUCCAGAGUGGCCUGAACAAGGCUGCAAGUGUAGGAAUGAGGCUAAUGUCACCUUGCUGAAGCCCCCAAGUCUCAGCCUCCCAGCAGAUGGAGGGGACUUUUCAAACCAACGCUGUUAAGUUCUCUCUGAAGAACUGAAUGCUUCCUAAAAUAGCUACAAUGGUGGUGAUGAGGAUAGUGAAUCAGACAACCAUGUUCCUAAAAAUAAAAUGAUUAUUGUUGGUACACGGAAUGGUUUCCCAGGUGAUUCUACAGUAAACGUGCACUAAUAUUUUCAUUUCCUGUUGGAGGGUUUAGGAGGGGGCAGGAUGGUGGCUUAGUGGCUGACCUAUCUAGAACUAAAGCUAAAUACCAAAAAGGGACAAAAUGUGCAUUUCUAAUUCCUGCCUUUUCUGAGUUAGCCCAUAGCCCCAAAGCACCCUUUUCCCACACACUCUAUAAAUAAAUAUAUUUAACAGUGAUACCUGUUCCAACACCUGGGACCCGAUGGAGUUUCUCUAGUGGAACACAGGUUCCCUGAGGGUAGGGGUUUGCUCCUGGCACCCGUGGUGGUUUGCAAAUAGUCGCUGAAUACCUGGACACACUCUGCCUGGAUUCAUCUACCCCCUGGUCAUUUCUCGUUCCUCCUUUAAGCCUCAUGGAGCAGGGCACCAGUCGAGAGGAGGACCAGAAGGCACUCUGGGUCUCCCUGUCAUGUCCUCUCAUCCCGAACAGGAUGUACUAAGGGCUGUUCCUUGGGAACCCCAUCCUCAGGGUACUGCCCAGCCCCUUAAACAUUCAGGUGAUGGCAUUAAGGAACAGUUCAGAGGAGCUCUGGGGGACGAGAGGGGCCAUGCUCCUCUAAAGGCCUGUCAUUGUUGAGGAUUCAUUCUAAUGUGAACAGGCCGGGGCCUGGGACCUGGGACCUUUGCUGCAGUGGCUGCAGUCCUUGCACCUGGACAAAUAUCUGGAGCAACAAAAUACAAAGAAACCACAAGGGACUAAAAGUAACUGCAUACAUGCACCGUUGGGACAAAUUAUGGGCAAGAAUAUAACAAAAAGCCUAAAAAUCCAACUGCUACUUCUGAAGAGCAGGGAGAGCAAAAGGAAAAGCAGGGUACUAGGCAGAUCCCCUAUCACAACACCACCAAAGGGGUGGGCGGACCACCUAAACCAUCCCUCUGCCCCCCCUGGAGCCAUCCCCACCCUUGCCCUAUAAAAGGAACCAGUUUGCUCCUCCCUGUGAGCCAGGAAGCAAGGGAACCCAUUGUUUGUUUUUGCUCCCCCCUGCUGCAGCAGGGGCCCCGGUAAAGCCUUGCCUGAAUUUUGUCCGGCCUCUUAUCAAUUUCAAUUGAUUAAGAAGGCCAAGAGCCCCUGGAUAGUAACACUGAGAACCUUAAAUUGGUGAGAGCAUCACACCUUCAAGGCUGGGAUAUUUAUAAGCAUUUAACAUCCCAAGAGAGCUGGGCAGGCCGUGGUGUUACAGAGAGGUCUAAGAGCUGGUUCUUUCCUGCAAGAGGCAUAAAAUCUACUGAGGAAAAUUCCAAUGAUAAGAUGCCAUUAAACUAAAUUCUAAAUGAAUACGAUAAAUUUCAUCACCAAAGUGCACUGAAUUCUAAAAGCAUUUAUCAUGGUAUUAGGAAAUAAGUACUCAAAUAUUUUUGGAAUUAAACCUGUGCUAUUUAUCCUGAGGCUGUUACUACUUAUUUUUAAAUCAUAUGUAUUUUUCUCAUGAUAAAACAAUAGACUUCCUAAAUAAACACAAAAAGAAGAGAGAAGGAGUAAGGAAGGAAAUAAAAACUAUUCAUAAUCUUUGAACCGAGAAAGACCUCUCUUAACAUUUUGGUUUAUUUCCUUCCAGUUGUCUUUUUUUUCUUCUUACAUAGAUAAGAUCCUAUGGAAUACAUAAUUUUACUUCCUAUCUUCCUGUUAAGAUCAAAGUAUGUUUUGCAUGUUUUAAAAACCUCUGUUUAUUGGCUAAAUAAUAAACAAAUGGUUUAUUGAUUAGACUGAAAGUUUAUUUAAAGCAUAUUACUACAGAGUCCAACAAAAUUUCUAUACUUGGAUGCUUCACAUUGUCUACUGUGCUUUGCUUUAGACUGUUCCCUCAUCAUGUAGGUGACAAAAUAUCAGUUCAAGACAAGAAUAAAGCAGAGAACAUAUAGAUAAGACCUUCAGAGGCAGAAACUCAGUAUUUACUUGUCUGCCCUUGCAAAAAGUAAACAUGUGGGAUUCUGGCUAUUGGACUGGGUUAUCUGUUCUCCAGCAGGGCUCCCCUCAGGAAGUCAACUCUCCAUGGCCUUUCGGUUGACAGCCGGCAGAUGGGGUGAAUGCUGUCAGCAGUUAUGCUGGAGCAAAACCCUUAAGAGGCGACUGCACACUGCACCAAUGAAGCCAGGGGAGCCAAGAAAAGGUAAUGAAGUGCUAAACCUGGCCUGACCUGCAAAACGCAGGACACAGAAGCCAAGCAGACACACCCACACGCUGCGCUUGGGAAGUCUGUCAAGUGGUGGAUCGCUUUUGCAAAGCUUUUCUGUUCCUAAUCAAGGUCCUAUAACGAUUUGUAACUAACAAUGAUUGUUUUAUCAGGGAAUUAUUUUUAAAAUAUCCAUGGCUUUGCUUCCUAAGCAUUUCAAACACCUUCCUUGUAUUCCUCUUCCAUUUCAUUGUGUGUGUUAUCAGCUAAAAGAAACUGUUAAUGCUACUUAUUGAGCAUUGAGCAUGUGCUGGGCACUGAAGCACCGGAUAUGCAUCCACUCACAUAAUCUUCCUAACAAGCCAGCACGACGUGUUUGUUCUAUUACCCUUUCCAU
This 4820-nucleotide long non-coding RNA is filed under the name Sus scrofa (pig). RNAcentral's name for it is "lncRNA (ENSSSCG00060053018.1)". The record is from RNAcentral. Lineage: Eukaryota; Metazoa; Chordata; Mammalia; Artiodactyla; Suidae.